This 395-nucleotide ribosomal RNA is filed under the name uncultured bacterium. RNAcentral describes it as "bacterial SSU rRNA". It matches the Rfam family "Bacterial small subunit ribosomal RNA", at positions 505 to 898 of the family's 1533-position model. The record is from RNAcentral.
GUGUCAGCAGCCGCGGUAAUACGUAGGGGGCAAGCGUUGUCCGGAUUUAUUGGGCGUAAAGAGCGUGUAGGCGGCUUCACAAGUCCGCUGUGAAAACUCGAGGCUCAACCUCGAGCUGUCGGUGGAAACUGUGUGGCUAGAGUCCGGAAGAGGAGAGUGGAAUUCCCGGUGUAGCGGUGAAAUGCGCAGAUAUCGGGAAGAACACCCGUGGCGAAGGCGGCUCUCUGGGACGGUACUGACGCUGAGACGCGAAAGCGUGGGGAGCGAACAGGAUUAGAUACCCUGGUAGUCCACGCCGUAAACGAUGGGUGCUAGGUGUGGGGGGUGUCGACUCCCUCCGUGCCGAAGCUAACGCAUUAAGCACCCCGCCUGGGGAGUACGGCCGCAAGGCUAAA